ACGGNAGGCAGCAGUGGGGAAUAUUGCACAAUGGGCGGAAGCCUGAUGCAGCAACGCCGCGUGCGGGAUGACGGCCUUCGGGUUGUAAACCGCUUUCGCCUGUGACGAAGCGUGAGUGACGGUAAUGGGUAAAGAAGCACCGGCUAACUACGUGCCAGGCAGCCGCGGUNAUACGUAGGGUGCGAGCGUUGUCCGNAUUUAUUGGGCGUAAAGGGCUCGUAGGUGGUUGAUCGCGUCGGAAGUGUAAUCUUGGGGCUUAACCCUGAGCGUGCUUUCGAUACGGGUUGACUUGAGNAAGGUAGGGGAGAAUGGAAUUCCUGGUGGANCGGUGGAAUGCGCAGAUAUCAGGAGGAACACCAGUGGCGAAGUCGGUUCUCUGGGCCUUUCCUUACGNUGAGGANCGAAAGCGUGGGGAGCGNACAGGCUUAUAUACCCGGUAGUCCUCGCUGUAAAC
This 454-nucleotide ribosomal RNA is filed under the name uncultured bacterium. Its description in RNAcentral is "bacterial SSU rRNA". It matches the Rfam family "Bacterial small subunit ribosomal RNA", at positions 341 to 807 of the family's 1533-position model. The record is from RNAcentral.